Ctenopharyngodon idella (grass carp) is the source of this 211-nucleotide long non-coding RNA. RefSeq lists it as uncharacterized. NCBI's taxonomy places the organism in Eukaryota, Metazoa, Chordata, Actinopteri, Cypriniformes, Xenocyprididae. The transcript is spliced from 3 exons. The record is from RefSeq and is a predicted model, not a curated record.
CAGCGCUAUAAAUACCGGCGCACUCCAUUCUGCGCUCCCUCAUUUGGCGAUGUCGCAGUGGAGGAGAGACAGAACAUAUGAAAAUGAGAAAAUCAGAUGGCUACAAGAAGGUGGCUGAAUGUGGUACUCUGAGCAGAUGAAGACUGUCCAGCUGAUGUCACACAUGACCCCAAAAUACCUUCAUCCCAAUGGCCAGGUGUGUUGAGAAAGG